This 468-nucleotide ribosomal RNA is filed under the name uncultured bacterium. Its description in RNAcentral is "partial 16S ribosomal RNA". It matches the Rfam family "Bacterial small subunit ribosomal RNA", at positions 28 to 507 of the family's 1533-position model. The record is from RNAcentral.
GACGAACGCUGGCGGCGUGCUUAACACAUGCAAGUCGAACGGAAAGGCCCUGCUUUUGUGGGGUGCUCGAGUGGCGAACGGGUGAGUAACACGUGAGUAACCUGCCCUUGACUUUGGGAUAACUUCAGGAAACUGGGGCUAAUACCGGAUAGGAGCUCCUGCUGCAUGGUGGGGGUUGGAAAGUUUCGGCGGUUGGGGAUGGACUCGCGGCUUAUCAGCUUGUUGGUGGGGUAGUGGCUUACCAAGGCUUUGACGGGUAGCCGGCCUGAGAGGGUGACCGGCCACAUGGGGACUGAGAUACGGCCCAGACUCCUACGGGAGGCAGCAGGGGGGAAUAUUGCACAAUGGGCGGAAGCCUGAUGCAGAAACGCCGCGUGCGGGAUGACGGCCUUCGGGUUGUAAACCGCUUUCGCCUGUGACGAAGCGUGAGUGACGGUAAUGGGUAAAGAAGCACCGGCUAACUACGUG